CAGUCGCCACGGUAAUACGUAGGGUGCAAGCGUUAAUCGGAAUUACUGGGCGUAAAGCGUGCGCAGGCGGUUUGUUAAGACAGAUGUGAAAUCCCCGGGCUCAACCUGGGAACUGCAUUUGUGACUGGCAAGCUAGAGUGUGGCAGAGGGGGGUGGAAUUCCGCGUGUAGCAGUGAAAUACGUAGAUAUGCGGAGGAACACCGAUGGCGAAGGCAGCCCCCUGGGCCAACACUGACGCUCAUGCACGAAAGCGUGGGGAGCAAACAGGAUUAGAUACCCCCGUAGUCCCUGUCUCUUAUAC
This 301-nucleotide ribosomal RNA is filed under the name uncultured bacterium. RNAcentral's name for it is "partial 16S ribosomal RNA". It matches the Rfam family "Bacterial small subunit ribosomal RNA", at positions 509 to 807 of the family's 1533-position model. The record is from RNAcentral.